AUUUCAGCUAAAUCUAAUACUGUAGCAUCCAUCCUUUUGGCAGAAAAUGCAGAAAAAGCUUUUGAAGGGGUUGACUGGUCCUUUCUCUUAGCUAUUAGAACAUUUAGGUUUCGGUCUCCACUGACUUUCUUGGAUCCAAUCCAUGUAUUCCACCCCUGCCCAGAGGCACUCCGUGUUUCCUGGAACGGAGAUUCAGAAGUCGGAUGCCGUCUGGGGGACUUGCAGAUCAGUGCUGGAG
Non-coding RNA from Pelobates cultripes (western spadefoot toad), 238 nucleotides. The record is from the annotation of a GenBank genome assembly. NCBI's taxonomy places the organism in Eukaryota, Metazoa, Chordata, Amphibia, Anura, Pelobatidae.